UUGAAAGGGAAACGAUUGAAGUCAGUCAUGCUAGUGAAAAAUCAGUUUGACGGGUUUUGAGUUCUUGAGUAGAGGCAGGGUCAAACCGUUUCUCUUUUGGACUUGGGAUUUGUUAGAUGUACUUUUUCUUUGGCAGGUCAACGUCGGUUUCGGGGGUUGUAAAAUACUUGGGGGAAAGUAGCUCUGCUUCGGGAGAGUGUUAUAGACCCUGGGAGAUGCAGCCUGUGGGAUCGAGGAUUGCAGCAAAUGCCUUUUGGCUUGUCGCCUGUUCCUGGGUGUUACCUAUCUUGUGACAACAUUCUUGCCACCGGGGAGUACUAAUGCCUACUGUUUAGAGCGAUCGAAAAUUACGUUAAGGAUGUUGACGUA
Molecule: ribosomal RNA, 369 nt
Filed under: uncultured Glomeromycotina
Lineage: Eukaryota; Fungi; Glomeromycota
Description: LSU rRNA
Source: RNAcentral